UGAACGCUGGCGGCGUGCCUAAUACAUGCAAGUCGAGCGAACAGACGAGGAGCUUGCUCCUCUGACGUUAGCGGCGGACGGGUGAGUAACACGUGGAUAACCUACCUAUAAGACUGGGAUAACUUCGGGAAACCGGAGCUAAUACCGGAUAAUAUAUUGACCCGCAUGGUUCAAUAGUGAAAGACGGUUUUGCUGUCACUUAUAGAUGGAUCCGCGCCGCAUUAGCUAGUUGGUAAGGUAACGGCUUACCAAGGCAACGAUGCGUAGCCGACCUGAGAGGGUGAUCGGCCACACUGGAACUGAGACACGGUCCAGACUCCUACGGGAGGCAGCAGUAGGGAAUCUUCCGCAAUGGGCGCAAGCCUGACGGAGCAACGCCGCGUGAGUGAUGAAGGUCUUCGGAUCGUAAAACUCUGUUAUUAGGGAAGAACAAAUGUGUAAGUAACUAUGCACGUCUUGACGGUACCUAAUCAGAAAGCCACGGCUAACUACGUG
Molecule: ribosomal RNA, 495 nt
Filed under: uncultured bacterium
Lineage: Bacteria
Description: partial 16S ribosomal RNA
Rfam family: Bacterial small subunit ribosomal RNA
Source: RNAcentral